UGCCUCAGUAACGGCGAGUGAAGCGGCAACAGCUCAAAUUUGAAAUCUGGCUCUUUCAGGGUCCGAGUUGUAAUUUGUAGAAGAUGCUUCGGGUGUGGUUCCGGUCUAAGUUCCUUGGAACAGGACGUCAUAGAGGGUGAGAAUCCCGUAUGUGACCGGCUACCUUCGCUCAUGUGAAGCUCUUUCGACGAGUCGAGUUGUUUGGGAAUGCAGCUCAAAAUGGGUGGUAAAUUUCAUCUAAAGCUAAAUAUUGGCCAGAGACCGAUAGCGCACAAGUAGAGUGAUCGAAAGAUGAAAAGCACUUUGGAAAGAGAGUUAAAUAGUACGUGAAAUUGUUGAAAGGGAAGCGCUUGCAAUCAGACUUGCACGCAGUUGAUCAUCCGGUGUUCUCACCGGUGCACUCUGCUGCGUUCAGGCCAGCAUCGGUUCUGGUGGUUGGAUAAAGGCCUUGGGAAUGUAGCUCCUUUCGGGGAGUGUUAUAGCCCUCGGUGCAAUGCAGCCUACCGGGACCGAGGACCGCGCUUCGGCUAGGAUGCUGGCGUAAUGGUUGUAAGCGACCCGUCUUGAAACACGGACCAAGGAGUCUAACAUCUAUGCGAGUGUUUGGGUGUCAAACCCAUACGCGUAAUGAAAGUGAACGGAGGUGAGAACCCUUAAGGGUGCAUCAUCGACCGAUCCUGAUGUCUUCGGAUGGAUUUGAGUAAGAGCAUAGCUGUUGGGACCCGAAAGAUGGUGAACUAUGCGUGAAUAGGGUGAAGCCAGAGGAAACUCUGGUGGAGGCUCGCAGCGGUUCUGACGUGCAAAUCGAUCGUCAAAUUUGCGCAUAGGGGCGAAAGACUAAUCG
RNAcentral lists this ribosomal RNA (844 nucleotides) under Rhytismatales sp. Its description in RNAcentral is "partial large subunit ribosomal RNA". It matches the Rfam family "Eukaryotic large subunit ribosomal RNA", at positions 76 to 937 of the family's 3401-position model. The record is from RNAcentral. Lineage: Eukaryota; Fungi; Ascomycota; Leotiomycetes; Rhytismatales.